UGCUACUAGAGGGAGUUACAGACC
This 24-nucleotide non-coding RNA is filed under the name Rattus norvegicus (Norway rat). The record is from RNAcentral. Lineage: Eukaryota; Metazoa; Chordata; Mammalia; Rodentia; Muridae.